UGAAAUUGCGUAGAGAUCGGGAGGAAACAUCUGUGGCGAAGGCGGCCAUCUGGUACAACACUGACGCUGAGGCACGAAAGCGUGGGGAGCAAACAGGAUUAGAUACCCUGGUAGUCCACGCCCUAAACGAUGCGAACUGGAUGUUGGUCUCAACUCGGAGAUCAGUGUCGAAGCUAACGCAUUAAGUUCGCCGCCUGGGGAGUACGGUCGCAAGACUGAAACUCAAAGGAAUUGACGGGGGCCCGCACAAGCGGUGGAGUAUGUGGUUUAAUUCGAUGCAACGCGAAUAACCUUACCUGGCCUUGACAUGUCCGGAAUCCUGCAGAGAUGCGGGAGUGCCUUCGGGAAUCGGAACACAGGUGGCUUGCAUGGCUGUCGUCAGCUCGUGUCGUGAGAUG
RNAcentral lists this ribosomal RNA (398 nucleotides) under uncultured Methyloversatilis sp. Its description in RNAcentral is "bacterial SSU rRNA". It matches the Rfam family "Bacterial small subunit ribosomal RNA", at positions 682 to 1074 of the family's 1533-position model. The record is from RNAcentral. Lineage: Bacteria; Pseudomonadati; Pseudomonadota; Betaproteobacteria; Nitrosomonadales; Sterolibacteriaceae.